GUAGGUAACCUGCCCCGGAGCGGGGGAUAACAUUUGGAAACAGAUGCUAAUACCGCAUAACAACAAAAGCCGCAUGGCUUUUGUUUGAAAGAUGGCUUUGGCUAUCACUCUGGGAUGGACCUGCGGUGCAUUAGCUAGUUGGUAAGGUGACGGCUUACCAAGGCGAUGAUGCAUAGCCGAGUUGAGAGACUGAUCGGCCACAAUGGAACUGAGACACGGUCCAUACUCCUACGGGAGGCAGCAGUAGGGAAUCUUCCACAAUGGGCGCAAGCCUGAUGGAGCAACACCGCGUGAGUGAAGAAGGGUUUCGGCUCGUAAAGCUCUGUUGUUGGAGAAGAACGUGCGUGAGAGUAACUGUUCAUGCAGUGACGGUAUCCAACCAGAAAGUCACGGCUAACUACGUGCCAGCAGCCGCGGUAAUACGUAGGUGGCAAGCGUUAUCCGGAUUUAUUGGGCGUAAAGCGAGCGCAGGCGGUUGCUUAGGUCUGAUGUGAAAGCCUUCGGCUUAACCGAAGAAGUGCAUCGGAAACCGGGCGACUUGAGUGCAGAAGAGGACAGUGGAACUCCAUGUGUAGCGGUGGAAUGCGUAGAUAUAUGGAAGAACACCAGUGGCGAAGGCGGCUGUCUGGUCUGCAACUGACGCUGAGGCUCGAAAGCAUGGGUAGCGAACAGGAUUAGAUACCCCUGGGUAGUCCAUGGCCGUAAAACGAUGAGUGCUAGGUGUUGGA
This 728-nucleotide ribosomal RNA is filed under the name uncultured bacterium. RNAcentral's name for it is "bacterial SSU rRNA". It matches the Rfam family "Bacterial small subunit ribosomal RNA", at positions 117 to 827 of the family's 1533-position model. The record is from RNAcentral.